ACCCGAGCAACAGACAGUCAUGCCAUGGGCCUGGGAUUUGCAUUUUGAACUUUUUGUAUAUCAGAAUAAAAAUACCUCAAACUUCAGUUAGGCACCACAAAAAUUAUUAACAAAUAACCUGCAAUUUUUUCAAACUUAAAUUCACCCAAUAAACUCUUGAGCCAUUGUUUUCAAGCUUUUUUCUUUCCCUAAUGGAAGUUAUUAUCUUCAUAUUCACUUUCAUAACUAAUCACUCCAGUACGUACAUGCAAUUUCCUGUGGUUUAUUAUAAAUUCCAGAAGGCAACUCUGUUGUUCAAUGUUACUACAAAGUGUACAACUUUUUUUAUUACCAGGACAAAGUAAUUUUGGGGACAGAUUACCCUUUCCCACUUGGGGAACUGGAACCUGGAAAAUUGAUUGAUUCGAUGGACGAUUUUGACCAUAAACUGAAGGAUAAACUCAAGGCUGGAAAUGCUCUGGAAUUUUUGGGUCUUAGCAGAAAACAAUUUGAAUAAUUAUGAAGAUACUAAAGAGGGUAAACUAUGGAAACAGUGCUGGAUCCUUAGGGAUGCUUCUGUUGGCAUGUGCAAUUGUACAGGUGAAAAAGAAAUUUGACAAGCAUCUAACAGUCUCUCAUAGGUACUGGAAAUGAGUAUGCACAGGUAUUGCUGUGCAUUUGAGGAUUUAGGCUGUUUAAACAAUUCUGAAAUCCCUGCUUUCAUAAUAAAGGAGAGAUUGCAACUUUUGCAGUUGUAAUAAGAAUCUCUGAAUUAUAAUGAAUGCCAUGUUAUUAGGACUUGAUUCUCAGGAAGGAAAGAGCUGAGAAAACUAUAUAGCCAUUACAUUUCAGUCUUUGUUAUGAGCAAUAAACAGAAUUUGAAAGAAUCUUAAAACAGAAUUUAAUCAGAACUUUGUUGAUGCCCAAUAAAAGGCAACACUUGUCUGUAUCCACUGCUGGGAAGUGCAUCAUGUCACACUCAGCUCAGCACUACAAGGGUGUGCACUGAUGCUUUGUCAGUGUUGUGACAGGAUGAAAAAGUCUGUGUGGGGAACGUUACAUUUCAGCUGCCACCUACACCACUGGCAACUUAUUCAUCAGAAACAAUCUGGACAAUAUGGUUGUAGGUGCAGAAAUAAUGUAUUUUGUGUGGGUAAUACUUGAUAUGUCACUGUCACUAUCAAAAUAAAUACUAGUGUUUAGCAA
This is a long non-coding RNA of Lepidothrix coronata (blue-crowned manakin), 1185 nucleotides long. RefSeq lists it as uncharacterized. Lineage: Eukaryota; Metazoa; Chordata; Aves; Passeriformes; Pipridae. The transcript has 2 exons. The record is from RefSeq and is a predicted model, not a curated record.